Schistosoma rodhaini is the source of this 45-nucleotide non-coding RNA. Lineage: Eukaryota; Metazoa; Platyhelminthes; Trematoda; Strigeidida; Schistosomatidae. The record is from Rfam.
AUCCAGCUGACGAGUCCCAAAUAGGACGAAGCGCGCGUCCUGGAU